This 497-nucleotide ribosomal RNA is filed under the name uncultured bacterium. RNAcentral's name for it is "partial 16S ribosomal RNA". It matches the Rfam family "Bacterial small subunit ribosomal RNA", at positions 28 to 507 of the family's 1533-position model. The record is from RNAcentral.
GAUGAACGCUGGCGGCGUUCCUAAUACAUGCAAGUCGAGCGAACAGACGAGGAGCUUGCUCCUCUGACGUUAGCGGCGGACGGGUGAGUAACACGUGGAUAACCUACCUAUAAGACUGGGAUAACUUCGGGAAACCGGAGCUAAUACCGGAUAACAUGUUGAACCGCAUGGUUCAACAGUGAAAGACGGUCUUGCUGUCACUUAUAGAUGGAUCCGCGCCGCAUUAGCUAGUUGGUAAGGUAACGGCUUACCAAGGCAACGAUGCGUAGCCGACCUGAGAGGGUGAUCGGCCACACUGGAACUGAGACACGGUCCAGACUCCUACGGGAGGCAGCAGUAGGGAAUCUUCCGCAAUGGGCGAAAGCCUGACGGAGCAACGCCGCGUGAGUGAAGAAGGUCUUCGGAUCGUAAAACUCUGUUAUUAGGGAAGAACAAAUGUGUAAGUAACUAUGCACGUCUUGACGGUACCUAAUCAGAAAGCCACGGCUAACUACGUG